Molecule: RNA transcript, 1756 nt
Organism: Vitis riparia (riverbank grape)
Lineage: Eukaryota; Viridiplantae; Streptophyta; Magnoliopsida; Vitales; Vitaceae
Exons: 9
Source: RefSeq, a predicted model, not a curated record
CAGUCCAUGAUAUAAACGAACUGUAGAGGCAUUUCCCUUCAAUAAUGGGUCCUGCCUGCCAUGUGGAGCUUCUCAUUAGCGAAUAUCUGAAUCAAGCAAUAACACUGAGGAAAUUAGAGAUACGGGUGACGACUGUUACAUUCCUCAGAUAUCUUCAGAUCUAUGAGUGAAAUCAAUUACCAGUUGAAGAGCUGAGGCUGUGAGACCUGUGUUAACAAUGGGGAAACCUUCAUGGGUUCGCACUGUUAUAACACAGUUGUCUCUCUGCUUGGCUGUCUUGCUUGCAUUCAACUUGGGUCGGCCUUGGGAGAAGCCCAUGUCCCACAGCAGCAGUGGCAGUAGCAGGCCUCUUGAUCUUUACUUUAUCAGUGUUAGAGGAGGAUUUAGACCUCUUAAUCAACAGACCCAUCUUCUCAAACAGAUGGAGAAGGCUGCAAAGACUUAUGAGGCAAGGUUUGUGAGAAACAUUAGUGAACUUGGGGAGGACGAUCCACUCACACAGAAUGGUACUUGGUGUUUUUCAACACUGAAAGUUCCCUGGUACAGUACCAGAGUUUCAAGAGGACGAGGAACAGGUUACUUCCUAAAGCAGAUCAAAAUACCUUUUGGGAAAACCUUAGACAUUAUUGCUUUGGAUACUGGGGCAUUUAAGGAUUUUAUGCUUAUGAAUCCGUUAAAUGGUGCUGGAAAUGAUCAAUUACAUGGGCUGACAAAGACACUAGAAACAUCAGAUAGUGACUGGCGCAUAGUUGUUGGUUUCUGCUCAUUGGCUGUUUGUGAAGGAAACAGGGAACGAAUAGAAAUACAACUUUAUGAGCAUCUACACCAUAUUUUUUAUGAGUUUGGAGUGGAUGUGUACCUGAGUGGGGAGGGAUGUAGUGACUAUGCUCGUAAAGAUAGUAUAGCCUACGUCAGGAACCCAGGUUCAAUAGAUGAAAAACUUCCUCUUGCUUCUGUAAAUGGAAUAUCAGGUUUUAGUAAGGGAAUGGUUAAUGGGUUCCUUCUUCAUAGAGUCAGCUCCUUAGAGGUUGUGAGUAUUCAUCUUUUUGGACUAAAUUUGUUCUUGUUGAAGCACCAAAAAAUGUUCUUUUUCCAUGGCAGGAAACCUACUUUGUUAACUCAGCAGGGGAAGUUGUGCAUGAUAUAGUACUUCAACAGAGGGGCAAGGCAGCCAUGUAAUUUCUCAGCAAGGGUACCGAAUCUAUUCAUUCUUUGAAGCCAUGGAAACUGUUAGGUGUAAAUAAGGAGGAGGAGGAGGAGCUAGCUUUGGAUGAUGGGCUAACCAUUUUGGUUUGCAUCUUCACAUAUUGAUAAAAGGGCUUGGCAGCCAUGGGAAGAUGGAGGUCUGGCAUUGCCUAUACUGACAUUUGGUAAUGAAGAAGUAAUUCUGCUUUCAUGGGGCUAUAAAUAGGUACCAUGGGACCACAUAAAUCUAUGUGGACAAGGCUUGUUAUUUUUGCAGAUCUGCCUUGACCAGGCUCUCAUCAAGUAAUCUCUUCCUUUCCUUCUUUCAUUUUGUUCAACCAUUCUGGAGCUAGUAGAUAUGAAGCUUGGUUAUUUGGGAACUUGGGAGUAGAGUCUGUGUAGCUUUGGCAUGUAGGUUUGAGAGGGUGAUGAUGGUUGAUUCCAUGGUGUUAUACGAAUCCUUGGUGUAUGGCUUUUAAUAAAUGGUUGCUGGGAUGAUGGUUCCAGGCUUGAGAUUUUGUUUGGCUGGCAAGAAAAUAAAGGAAAGGAAAUGGAGCUAGUUAUUGAUCAA